UGAGGUGUCGCCAAGCGGUAAGGCUCCGGUUUUUGGUAUCGGUAUUCCCAGGUUCGAAUCCUGGCACCUCAG
This 72-nucleotide transfer RNA is filed under the name Spirochaetota bacterium. Its description in RNAcentral is "tRNA-Gln". It matches the Rfam family "tRNA". Rfam says of the family: Transfer RNA (tRNA) molecules are approximately 80 nucleotides in length. Their secondary structure includes four short double-helical elements and three loops (D, anti-codon, and T loops). The record is from RNAcentral. Lineage: Bacteria; Pseudomonadati; Spirochaetota.